RNAcentral lists this long non-coding RNA (448 nucleotides) under Cyanistes caeruleus (blue tit). RNAcentral describes it as "lncRNA (ENSCCEG00000006134.1)". Lineage: Eukaryota; Metazoa; Chordata; Aves; Passeriformes; Paridae. The record is from RNAcentral.
AUUUAUAUCUCUAGUGACCAGAUUCAAGGAAAGGGACCUGCUCCUGGUUAGAAGUUUCUUUAAAGAGGUUUCUGGCAAAUAUCUUACUGUUAAACCUGAUCUUGAAUCAGAUCUUCUUUUACCUUGUCCCCAAAAACUCUUGUCUCUUAGCCCAUUUCAGUGGCAUUUGCAAAAUUUGAAAUGGACAGAAAAUAAAAAAUCUCCUUUCAUUUGGUUUGCAGCUCCUGACUGCAAUUCAUAUAAAGCCUGCUGUAGCUCUAAAGGCAUUACCAGUGAUGGAGAUGAAGGUGAAUGGAAAGAAAAAGUGCAGGAAUCAGGACAAUCAUUGGAGGAGGAGCCCUGGUUAAACCUGGUGACUGGGGAGCAAGACCUGUGCACCAGGAACUGAAAUGCAAUGCGAGUUUUGUCAAAUCUACAUCAAAAUAAAGUUCCAAAGCAGUAUUUAACA